AAGUCGGUGAUGGAGAAGAAGAUUGCAGACUUGGUACACCUUGAGAGGGAACCAUAGAAAUUGGAGGCAUAUGUGAAAAUGCAGGUCCGGAAACCAAAGAAGGCAAAAUAGUUGGUUCCACUUUUACAGUUGCAGUGGGGAUGUUUCCCAUUGAAACCGCCUGCCGAUUAACUGACCCAUUCACUGUUGAAAUAGAUGCUGAAGUUGACCCCGGGAUAAGAUUUCCAGAAGAAGUCACAUCCACCUUAAUGUUGUUUUGGUUAGAGGUCAUAUUUCCAGCUAAUGGACGGCUUAGAGCAGCUCG
RNAcentral lists this unclassified non-coding RNA (304 nucleotides) under Hevea brasiliensis (rubber tree). Lineage: Eukaryota; Viridiplantae; Streptophyta; Magnoliopsida; Malpighiales; Euphorbiaceae. The record is from RNAcentral.